UACGUAGGGUGCAAGCGUUAAUCGGAAUUACUGGGCGUAAAGCGUGCGCAGGCGGUUGUGUAAGACAGAUGUGAAAGCCCCGGGCUCAACCUGGGAAUGGCAUUUGGGACUGCAAGGCUGGAGUUUGGCAGAGGAGACUGGAAUUCCUGGUGUAGCAGUGAAAUGCGUAGAUAUCAGGAGGAACACCGAUGGCGAAGGCAGGUCUCUGGGCCACUACUGACGCUGAGAAGCGAAAGCAUGGGGAGCGAACAGG
This 253-nucleotide ribosomal RNA is filed under the name uncultured bacterium. RNAcentral describes it as "partial 16S ribosomal RNA". It matches the Rfam family "Bacterial small subunit ribosomal RNA", at positions 524 to 776 of the family's 1533-position model. The record is from RNAcentral.